UUAUCGGAGAGUUUGAUCCUGGCUCAGGACGAACGCUGGCGGCGUGCCUAAUACAUGCAAGUCGAGCGGACAGAUGGGAGCUUGCUCCCUGAUGUUAGCGGCGGACGGGUGAGUAACACGUGGGUA
This 126-nucleotide ribosomal RNA is filed under the name Bacillus amyloliquefaciens. RNAcentral's name for it is "partial 16S ribosomal RNA". It matches the Rfam family "Bacterial small subunit ribosomal RNA", at positions 1 to 123 of the family's 1533-position model. RNAcentral also lists the same sequence under 30 other names. The record is from RNAcentral. Lineage: Bacteria; Bacillati; Bacillota; Bacilli; Caryophanales; Bacillaceae.